This is a long non-coding RNA of Haliotis rubra (blacklip abalone), 362 nucleotides long. RefSeq lists it as uncharacterized. Lineage: Eukaryota; Metazoa; Mollusca; Gastropoda; Lepetellida; Haliotidae. The record is from RefSeq and is a predicted model, not a curated record. The transcript is spliced from 3 exons.
CUAAAACAAACUAAUAUAAACAUGGGAGCACGACUGCUUAGGUGUCUAAAGGAGACUGGAACCACAGCUGCCUAGGUGUCUAAAGGAGACUGGGUGACCACAGCUGCCUAGGUGUCUUAAGGCGACUGGGUGACCACAGCUGCCUAGGUGUCUAAAGGAGACUGGGACCACAGCUGCCUAGGUGUCUAAAGGAGACUGGGACCACAGCUGCCUAAUUGUCUAAAGGCGACUGGGACCACAGCUGCCUAGGUGUCUAAAGGAGACUGGGUGACCACAGCUGCCUAGGUGUCUAAAGGAGACUGGGACCACAGCUGCCUAAGUGUCUAAAGGAGACUGGAACCACAGCUGCCUAGGUGUCUAAA